RNAcentral lists this ribosomal RNA (253 nucleotides) under uncultured bacterium. Its description in RNAcentral is "partial 16S ribosomal RNA". It matches the Rfam family "Bacterial small subunit ribosomal RNA", at positions 524 to 776 of the family's 1533-position model. The record is from RNAcentral.
UACGUAGGGUGCGAGCGUUGUCCGGAAUUACUGGGCGUAAAGAGCUCGUAGGUGGUUUGUCGCGUUGUUCGUGAAAACUCACAACUCAAUUGUGGGCGUGCGGGCGAUACGGGCAGACUUGAGUACUGCAGGGGAGACUGGAAUUCCUGGUGUAGCGGUGGAAUGCGCAGAUAUCAGGAGGAACACCAGUGGCGAAGGCGGUGCGCUGGGCCGAAACUGACGCUGAGGAGCGAAAGCGUGGGUAGCAAACAGG